UACGUAGGGUGCGAGCGUUAAUCGGAAUUACUGGGCGUAAAGUGUGCGCAGGCGGCGUCGCAAGUCGAGUGUGAAAGCCCCGGGCUUAACUUGGGAAUUGCGCUCGAAACUACGAUGCUGGAGUGUGGCAGAGGAAGGUGGAAUUCCACGUGUAGCGGUGAAAUGCGUAGAGAUGUGGAGGAACACCAAUGGCGAAGGCAGCCUUCUGGGCCAAUACUGACGCUCAUGCACGAAAGCGUGGGGAGCAAACAGG
This 253-nucleotide ribosomal RNA is filed under the name uncultured bacterium. Its description in RNAcentral is "partial 16S ribosomal RNA". It matches the Rfam family "Bacterial small subunit ribosomal RNA", at positions 524 to 776 of the family's 1533-position model. The record is from RNAcentral.